GCAGUGCUGUUUUUUUCGUUCUUUGUGAAACCGGGUCGGUGGUGAGAUCGGGAUGGGGAGUGGGUUCUCGCCCCCUUGGACGGGGAGCCGGAGACGGAUUAUUCUCUGCGGGGCAACACCAACAAUUUUCCUUCGUUAGACCUGCGGUGAGAAGUUUAUUUGAAGAAAAACCCCAACUGGAAGCAAACCACAGCUGAAGACGAGAGAACAGCAACAAGUGAAUUGGCCCGAGGACUGAGAACAGCAACUGGAGAGAACAACUCUGCAUCAAGAGACUCGGAUUUCCCAGUGAUUCAGUCAGGAGAAAGUUUGGGCCAUGCGUUAAGAAUUCUGCCGGCGCUGAAGCGCCGAUGAAAUGCGCAGGCGUCAGGCUGAGGACGUCCCCGAGUAUCACACAUGCGCGCAGUACACAGAAGGCCUUGAAAAUGUCGGCUACAGGU
This is a long non-coding RNA of Hypanus sabinus (Atlantic stingray), 440 nucleotides long. RefSeq lists it as uncharacterized. Lineage: Eukaryota; Metazoa; Chordata; Chondrichthyes; Myliobatiformes; Dasyatidae. The record is from RefSeq and is a predicted model, not a curated record. The transcript has 3 exons.